CGUGCCUAACACAUGCAAGUCGAACGAGAAAGCUCCCUUCGGGGGGUNAGUAAAGUGGCAGACGGGUGAGUAACACGUGGGCAACCUGCCCCGAGGUCGGGGGAUAACCCUCCGAAAGAGGGCUAAUACCGCAUGACAUCCCAUGGCCGAUGGGCCGAGGGAUCAAAGCAGGCCUCUUCUUGAAAGCUUGCGCCACGGGAUGGGCCCGCGCCCCAUUAGCUUGUUGGUGAGGUAACGGCUCACCAAGGCGACGAUGGGUAGCCGGCCUGAGAGGGCGAUCGGCCACACUGGAACUGAGACACGGUCCAGACUCCUACGGGAGGCAGCAGUGAGGAAUUUUGCGCAAUGGGCGAAAGCCUGACGCAGCGACGCCGCGUGGAGGACGAAGGCCUUCGGGUCGUAAACUCCUGUCAAGAGGGACGAAUGUCAGGUGGAUGAAUAAGCCUCCUGGCUGACGGUACCUCUGGAGGAAGCCCCGGCUAACUCCGUG
Molecule: ribosomal RNA, 490 nt
Filed under: uncultured bacterium
Lineage: Bacteria
Description: bacterial SSU rRNA
Rfam family: Bacterial small subunit ribosomal RNA
Source: RNAcentral